This 253-nucleotide ribosomal RNA is filed under the name uncultured bacterium. RNAcentral describes it as "partial 16S ribosomal RNA". It matches the Rfam family "Bacterial small subunit ribosomal RNA", at positions 524 to 776 of the family's 1533-position model. The record is from RNAcentral.
UACAGAGGGUGCGAGCGUUGUCCGGAAUCACUGGGCGUAAAGGGCGCGUAGGCGGCUUGAUAAGCGUGCGGUGAAAGCCCGGGGCUCAACCCCGGGUCGGCCGUGCGAACUGUCGAGCUGGAGCACUGUAGAGGCAGGUGGAAUUCCGGGUGUAGCGGUGAAAUGCGCAGAUAUCGGGAGGAACACCGGUGGCGAAGGCGGUUCUCUGGGCCUGACCUGACGCUGAGGAGCGAAAGCGUGGGGAGCGAACAGG